This 11891-nucleotide long non-coding RNA is filed under the name Gallus gallus (chicken). RNAcentral describes it as "lncRNA (ENSGALG00010023560.1)". The record is from RNAcentral. Lineage: Eukaryota; Metazoa; Chordata; Aves; Galliformes; Phasianidae.
CCAUCAUGGAGCGGGAACGGCUCUGCCGGGACAAGCGCAGAUCCUGGCGGGGUGUGGUAACACCGAGCCCCGUGCAACAAGAAACGGAAGGGGAGUGCAUUUGUAAAUAAUUUACUAGAAUGACCUACAUGCUACCAAGCCUUUGUUCCCUCUUAUGCAGUCAGUAGAGAACCACACAGCCUCAGAGAAUGAAGUCUGAGGACCGAACGCUGAGAGGUGACACAGAGCAGAGGCAUCUGAGCCUUUCCUGUGGGAAGGCAGCCUGAGGUGCCUUCAGAGUUUCUAAGCUUUUCCAAGCUUUGUGGAGAAGCGGGAGAGGGAGAGAUGUCCCACAGCCCUGCGGAGGGAGCAGGGAGGGGACAGCUUGCUGAUGGUGCUUGUCACGUGUUUGGAGCUGCCAGCGCUGCACUGGGGCGGCAGCGUGUGCAUGGAGAGGGAGAGCUAUGGUGGAGGAAUCAAGGCCUGGGCUAAUUGCCAGCAAAGGAAAGCAGAUCGUGCUCUUCAUGAGAGCAGAGAAACUGGGCCUGGUGUGUGAGCUGCCUUUGAGAGCUGGCUGGAGAUGGGACUCCACGAUGCCCAGCUACAUGGCACAGUUCCCUGGACAUUGCCAAGCCAUGGUGGCCUUGGGGAUCGACAGCAGGACGCUUCCUCUCUGCAAUCUUUGCCUUCUGUCAUGGGAUGAGGUGUGGUGCACAAACGUGAAACAUCAGUCACUAGCCACCGGUGGGGCCAAAGGAAGGCUACUGCUCACGCUUGUUGCUACUUUCUUCUUCUUUAUAAUUCUGCUCUGUCAAUCGUGUGAUUAUAGAAGAAUCUCAGUUUUCAGCUAAGAAAUGUAUGCUUUUCUUGCUGGCUCUUGCAGAGACAAACCUGGAAAUUCUAGAGUGUUGAGUCCAAAGACUGAAGAGUCAGAAGAUGAACAAGCACAGAAUCCAACGUUACUGGUUUUCCAAAUUUUUUAAUUGUAUUGUUUAGGUGACUGACAGUAUUUUGGAACCCCUCUCUCGAAGGUUUGGGAUUAGCUGUCCCAAAAAGAAGAGCAUGUUGGCUGCCUAGUGCUACUUGGGAAUGUCAAAAUCCCAGCCCAUGGCUCUGCAGAACUCGCUUAGUCUCUCUUGCUCAGAAGCCCAGGACCACCUUCUGAGGCUCGGAGAGAAAAGCUGGUCAGGUUUUCUCUGUGAGCUCUGCUUCACGUGGCAGUCCAGCUGGACAGCCCUGCCAGCAGCAGGAGCUGUGGCCCCACCAUGGCUACCUGGCCUCCCCUGUGAAGCAGAAGUAGCACUGGCAUUUCUUAGCAGGUGAGGAUCCACCCAGCACACUGCUGCAGUACCUGGCAUCUUUGUGUCUGCCCUGACCAUUCCACUCGGCACCAACAGCAUGUGCACAACCUGUGCUUCUUUGUUUUUGGCUGUGGCUUCUCUGUGGACAGACUUGCUAUCUCUGGGCCUACAGAGAUGAUUCACAUUUCUCCAUUUUUAGACAUAAUAAUAAUAAUAAUAACCAGUGUCUUCUGACUCCCACUUGUGCUGCCCCUCAGUGUGUGCACCUCGGCCCUGGGAGCCGAGGAGCUGUACCCACUCAUUGCUGCUGAAGUUGGCUGACCUCAGUGCAGGGAUGGGAUGCGGGGUGGAGGUGUGCAGCUCUUCCCGAGUCCACAUUGCUCAGUCGGUCACCUCUUAUCUCACUGAUGGAUCGAAACCCCACGAAUUCACGCUGUGGUGGAUGUGACUGUGUCCGUUGCAAACGCAGCUGUUCCAAAACGCAAACCAGAAUUUUUAAGUGCUGCUGAAGUGGUGAAAACCCUUUGAGGAGCAGGUGUGGGGCCGGUGGAUGGCAAAACCUUCCUCAGUGAAACUGCUCAAAAGAGCAAGUCUGUUAACGAACAGAGGGUCUGUGUCCGGGUCCAACAGCACUGGCAGAUGGCAAGAGCCAGCAGCAAGAGUGAGCAGUGCACCCUAGGAAAAGCAUCCAGAAUAAACCAGGAAGGUGAAGGAACGCGUCAGUCUAAGCCUUGCUUCCUGAAGCGGCACAAAGCCCGUCCCAGGAAGGAGUGCUGCUGCAGCGACAGAGCGGUGCAGUGGGAUGUCUGCCCCAGAGCUGUGCUGCGUGCGGCCCCCGAAGUGCACGUGGGCAGGGCUGGUUUUUCCAUCUCUCUUUACUACCAGAAAAAGCAAAGCACCCCUCUGAGCGUGCUCGCCGGACUAGGAGGAGCGUGCACGCAUGUGUGUUUGCGGGUGCACAACGCCGAGCACGUGAACAGCGGCCGCAGGGUGUCAUGGAGCAUGCAGCCCACGCAGGGCCGGGCCGGGCCGGGCGUGCUGACGGCAGCGUGGCUGUGGCGGGCAGGGCUCCUCCGUGCGCUGAUGAAACGCAGCUGGGCUCCGCAACCAGCUCACUUGGUAGAGAAGAGUCUAGAAGGGCUCGUGCCAGCUAUAAACAGAGCGAUCAGCAUACACAGGAUGUGGUGAGCAGCUACAGGCGUCCCGUUAUUAACUUCACUUUUAUUUCAAGGGGAUUCACUUCUCUGUUCUGUUUCCCAUUUGGGAAGUGAAACCUAAGACCACGGCACCACUUAGCAGAAAGAAUUUGGUCGCUGCUCAUUUGUUUUUCUAGUUGAUUCUUCUUUUUCUCCUGCAAAGGUUACUCCGCUGUUCCUUUGACAGAAUUCAUGGAAAUUACUGGCAGCGCGCUGACUCUUCGCUCUCUGUUUCUCUCCUGAGGAAUUAUCUCAUCUGCGCUCAUUGAAGACUGUUGACUCUGAGGGGAGUGUUUACUUGAGGACACCUCGCCUGGCCAGGAAGGAGCAAUGCGGAGAGCGAGCGCUGGUUCCUCCCAGUCACAGCCCAACCAGCCUGUGCUGCGCCGAGGUGCUUUGUAAACAUUUGUUCAUCCUUGCACACACCUCCCACCCCCCGUAAGGUGAGGAAAUGUUAUUGCCACCUUUCCACAGAUGGAAGAAGUGAGCACAGAGAGGUGCGGUGACUCAUCGGCCGCAGCUGAGGCAGAGCUGGAGCUGCGGAGCCAAUCUCCCAGCCCUGACAUUGCCGGCAGUCACGUUCUCACCCGGCGCUGGGACGUGGGCAGCGCCAGCCCCAUCCACCUGCCGCCCACCUGUCCUGGGAGGCGGCAGCGUGCAUCUCAGCGUGUACAGAAAGAGAUCAGAUCGCCGUGGCUUGCUCCAUGUGCUGGUGUCAUCGCAGCAUGGUCUGGGCAGGAUGCGCUGUGAUCAGAUUCACCGUACCCGAGGGAAGGGUAGAGUUUGCUCUACACAUCUGUUCAUUUUUAAGUAAAACGCUCGGUACUUUCUUCUUUUAAAUGAAACCUUUGAGACAGGUCAUCCUCAUUAAGCUUGCACCUAGCUGCCUCUUGCCUAGCCAGCUGUAAAACCAGUGUUCAUUGCCACAGUGAAGCCCAAAGAAGGAACCUCCUUGACAUCUGUGGGCUUUGGGACAGUUCGGGAGCCUGGUCCUGCAUGUGUUGAGGGGCAUGGCCAAACACCCAUGAAUUUCAAGGCAUGAGAAACCAGGGUCUCAGUGGUGCUUAGGAGCAGGGAGGACACGCAGCCGAGCACCUGGACCGUUACAGGCCUCCCUGCAUCUCGUCCUACCUUGGUGUGUGGUUCUGAAGAGCACUGGGACCUUGUAGGUGUAGGGGAGUAGAGAGGAAGAUGUCUCUUACUCUGGCCCUCCUUCAGGCAGCAGCACCACCUAAGGCUGCAGAGCCCAGGCUCCCUGCCUUCGCUGAGAGUCAGGCUGGAACUGCAGGGUGUGGGGAAGGCAGGCCAGGCCAUGAAGGGGAUGGAGAACGUGGGCCAACGUGUUGGGGAGGCUGGAGUCAGCACCUUUUGUCCAGAGAAACAGAGGGCCCUCUGUAGUGGAACUGGCAGAGAGUUAAUCUCAUAGUUAAACUGUUACUGGGCUUCACCUGCUCUUAUCCCUCCAUGGUGCAAGGGGCAAGGGGCUCAGUAGGUCAACUGGCACUGGGACCUGACAGCAAUUAAAGGGACCCCGCCGAGGCCCAGGAUUUGACCCGCGCUUUUUUGGUUAGGUCCCUUUCCACACCAUAUCAGUCCUCACAGAUGUCAUUUGUGCUUCAGUGUGGUUUGUGCUAAACAAAGUAAAGCCUUGCAAAGCGGAACACGCGGCCCAAAGCCAGGGAUGUACCAAAUAGAACUCACAAGCCACCGUACAGUAACAUGCACAGGGCACUCACGAGAGCAGUCCCAAUGUAACUGACGGGUACGUGGCUGUUGAGUCCGUGCAAAACAUGGUACCUGAAUGUCAGGAGUCCCGGAAGGGGAAGACAGCAGUGCCAGCAGUGAGGUUUUGAGAGGCACACGAAACAACUAGUUGAGAAGGAGUUACAAAUCCAGGGCAAACGCCCAGGCAAUACCCCACCUUCUUCUCAUAAGAGGCAUAUAGCCAACACCCCAUCAUACUGGUAAUCAGGGCCCUGGAUAAUGUGGGGUUUGUUUGCUGCUAAUAUAGCCAUUGUAUCUACCCUAGCUGCAGAGCCCUGCUCCUGAACUGAGGCACCAGGACUGCAAGUUACAGCUCUGCUGGCUGAGAGCUUUCUGAAUGGGAACACAGAGCAACCCUCCCUGUCUCUACACAUUCUAGCUCAGCAACGUGUGCUACACCCAUUCAUCUGAACGCAGAAAUAGCUCUGAAACUCAUGAUAAGGCCUUAAAUGCCAUCACACAGCUCAUUUAUUUCCCCACUGUCCCGAAGUGCUUCCCAGGUGCUGAAAUCCUGGCUGCCAAAACCUCCAUAGCCUCUGCCGACAACCUCAGUGACAUAGCUCUGCGUUGCAGCACCUUCCCUGCUGCUGCGGGCAGGGUGCUGCCAGAGGCUGUGCGUUCAGCCACAAGACGCCAGGAGCACUGAGGGUGGUCGCUGUGCCUGGCACGCAGCUGGGGAACCGAGGCCCCUAAGGGACGUGCCAUGUCCCCACACAGAGGGGAAGCGUGUGCCAGAGCAGCAGCAGCAGCCGGUGCCUCUCUUUUUCCAUGCGUCUGUCCCCUCCUCAAAGCAAUUUAGCAAUUUUCUUCGCCUUGAUGCCAGUGGCAUUACAUAAGUGUAACCUGGUUGUGAGAUCACGAUACGACACGUCGAUUAGCCAGGGAGGCACAAGGUCAUAACCAGCCUGAGGAAGGAGAGGCAGGCUGUGCAUACACACAAACACACCUAGGUGGAUGUAUAUAAACACACGUGGGCCCCUGGUGUUCCCAUCGCAGAUGUGCUGUGCGUGGCACAUGUCAGCCGGGGCAGGCUAUCGACCGCUGCCUGUGUUUCUGCAUCAGAACCUUUCGGUUUUCCCUUUCAGGCUUGGAGUUACUUCUCUUUUACAUAAAUAGCACCACUCGAGGCUGCCUUCCCGAUAGGUGGAAUAGUUUCCCCUUGAGAAGGAACUGGUGGAAAUCCCCUCUCUUGAGACAUUUUAACUCUGCCAAAAAAUGUACAAUGGGAGUGACUGCUUUAACUAGCAAGCUGACUUUGGAUGAGCUAAUGGAUUUUUCCAUCACUAGUGUCUAGUUCCAGGGAUUUCCAUGAAUUGCUGUCAGGACAGAAGAAGGCAACAGAUUGCAACUGCGGGAUCUGCUGUUUCAGCUCCACUGACACGUCAUUCCCUCAGGACACCCAGUGACCUGGUUAAUCUAGUUCCUUGCUUCUGACUUCUCCUCGUAAAUGAUUUAUCAACUGGCGUGGAUCCCUGUUUGCUUAAGGAGGCGUGUGACGACCUCUCGCAGGCUGGCUGCACAGAGCCACGGCUGUGUUUGGCAGCCGGCUGCCGGCCGCAGCUCGUGACCCUUGGCUGGGGGAGCAGGGGAUGGGCAGCAGAGCCCGGUGGGUGAUGUUUAUGAGGCUGGCCGGAGGGCGCUGGUGACCAAGCUGCAGGCUCGGCAGUGGGAGCACUCGCCUAGGACCUGCCUCAGCCCACUCUGACCCCCAGGGUAUGAAGGCGCGGUGGGCAGAGGGUUGGCGUGGGCUGUGACUGCCCGCCACGGGAGCGCCAGCUGCACCAGAGCCAUCCUUGAGGUCCCUGCUCUCCACGGAGGAAAUAACGCCAACUUUGGUCCGUUGCCUUGUCCACAGCGAGGCAGCAUCCGUGGGGUGACAUCAGUGUCACGUCUGAAGCAGAUGCAGCUCUGGAAGUCUUCACGUGCACACGUAGGUCAGUAUGCGUGUCACCACACACACAGCACGGCUGUAAGAAAGAGACGGUACAGAUCUGAACUCAGUCAGAAGCCAGGGAGAGAGGAUGGAAAUGACUCCUGCAAGCUUUACAUCCUGCCUUUGUACCUGGGCUAAAGGAGCGUGGAAAGAGAUCAGAUAGCACAAAUUGGGCACCCUUCUAAAAAACUGUCUAUGGGCAACUCCCCGCCUUCCCUCCAGGCCAGUUAUUGCCACUUCCUGCUCUGAUUGUUUCAAAUCCGGUUAUCUGGAGUUAUGCCUGUUCUGGCAAAUACGGUGCAGCAGAGGGGAGGGACCGUUCCAGCCAGCGCUGUAUGCAUGCCACAGAUCGCAGAGAUUAGCAUGGGAGGAACCGCAGGGAUGAGCUGCUUGAGGCAAAUAGUGGGAAGCUUACAACAGAGCUGCUUAACAAUUACAGUCAUGAAACUGUAGGACAAAAUCUUUAUUUUGGGGACACGAGGCCGCGCUGGGUUUCCAGCUGGCGGGAGGUUGUCUUGUAGGGGCAGCACGUGGCAGUAAGGCGAGGAGGAAGCCCACCACAGCCAGCCCACUCCCCAGCAGCGCCGUGUCGCACCACCCGAAGGCCACACAUCAUCAGGAGGGCUGGGCUGCAGCGAGGAACCUGCAGCCACAUGCAGGCAGAGGCAAGGGUGUGUUCCUUCCCGCAUAAGGGUGGGUCUGGAGCAGCCUGCAGCUUCAUGGGACCUCAGGGGUGGUCGUUCCUCUUAGCCCACAAGGGUGGAAGUUGCAGCUCCUGUUCCCUUUUUCGGGGUCACGCCACCUUCUUCUGCCUCAGCAGGAACCUCUGUGUUCACGCCCCAUGUGCUCCCACUGCACACCUCCUACAGCAGACCAACAGCGUGGAAGGACAGACAGCUGGCAGAGCGUGUGAGGGCUAAUCCCACCUCACCAGGAGCACCACAGCCACUCUGCUGCUCAAAUCCCAAACCCGCGUCCCCAACAACGAGUUCAGUCUAGGCUGGUCUCCCAUGUGCCCCAUGAGAUGCUCAUCAUAGUAACAAAGCAGAGAGGUGGGACGGGAGAAGAGGCAGAGGCCAAUGAGUUAUCCCGAAAUCAUAUUUCUAACCUUCUAAUAUGUGUGGAUUUGCCUCAGACGUAACUUCAGUCCGAAUUCCCAAGUGCUGAUAGAUUUGUGAGUGGAUAACACAAGGCUCAGGCUUAGCAACAAGCCCGAGCUCACUGACUUCACACCGCCUGUCCCAUACACCGUCUCGCUCUCCAAACAGCAGAGAGGAGCCUGGUCCGUGUAGGAACUAUGUCCUUCCAAGCAGCACAAGUACUCCUGACUCUAACCCCUUGGAACUCAAACGCAUUUACCAGGGACAGCACAGAUGCAAGUGAUGCAAGUACAAAACUCCCCAAAAACAUUCCCGUGUCCCUAGGGCACUGAAACAAGAGCCAGGAUUUCUCAUUGACCUCCUCCGUGGCAGGUGCACAGGUUUAGCAACUACGCACUAAAGAGAGCAGCCAGAAACCAUUUGGCAGAGACAGGACCAGAACCUGCUUCCUCUCAUCUCCAGCUGCCCAGGUUGCUCAGAAUCAUAGAAUCAUUAAGGUUGGAAAAGACCACUAAGGUCAUCCAGUUCAGCCAUCCGCCUACCACCACUGUUGCCCACUAAACCAUGUUCCUUAGUACCACAACUACACGUUCCUCCAACACCUCCAGGGGCAGCUUCCAAGUGCCUGGCUUUGUUCCGGUCCUGGCAACACAGGGCGAUUUUCUGGUCUUUCUUUUCUAUAUCCGAAAGGGUUUUUAAUUUGCAUUUUUUACCACAACCAAUCGCAGAUAUUUUCAUUGAACUGUUCACGCAGAAACCAUUUUAUUGAGCUGUUCUGGUUUUGGUGUGCUUAAAUCAUCCAGCUGGCAGAGCAGGCUAGUGCAUGACAGUGAAGUCACAUACCUCUCUGCUGGAUCUGACCGUAGGAGAUCCUACCAGGUCAAGGUUGCAGCUGCGUGUCACGCAGUCGUGGCAUCCAAAGUUACCGUCGCUCUUUGAGGAAGACUGGCUCGGAGCUGAGAGGCAGCUGACCACGGUUUCUUAUCCAGGUCCCCUGCUGAUGAGGCUCAGACUAAAUCUGCUGGCAAAACCUAACAAGAUUGCAAGCAGAAGGACACAGCUACGGAUAAAUAGAAGUGAGGGGAAUAAUAGCCUGCUUUUCUUGGACUGGGUCCAAUAUUCACUAAAGGGAUUCCCAUGAGCAUCAGUAGGAUUCCAAUCAGAACAUAAAUUCCUUAUAAAUUUUCUUCUACUUUAUUAAACCAUAAAAAAAAAUCAACCCAGCCCCCCCCUCUCCCCCCAAUAAUCACACACACACACACACAAACCAGCCUAACAACUAUUUUAAGAGCCGUUUCCCCCUUUUCUUAAAUAUUUAUUCUCCUUUCUGCUCUUUCUCAGUAGCAGGAAGGCCAGAUUGCUUCUCUGACAGCUCCGUGACCUGACAGCUGCCCACAGUCUGAGCAGUGCUGCUCCUGACCAGGAGAGCCAACCUGCUGCGAGCUGCUGCAGCUCAGUGCACGAGUGCUGGGGGAACAUCCAGCUCGCAGGACGGCUAUUCACUAAGGGCCCCAACAGGACAUCCUUCCUGUAUUAGUAUUGCCUCCCUGAACUAUCAAUUAAAAAGAACGCCACAAUUCUGUACCCUGUGGAUGCCGCCUGCCUUCUGUGCGCGCACAAAUCCCGCUACGAGAGGUACUGUAAGUACUGAGGUGUUAAAGACGCCAGAGGGUGCCCAGUGGGAUUUCAGAAGAGCAGCGGUCCCGACUGCUUUGGAUGUCAGCGCAGGUCGGACGUGUGAGCCCCAGGCCCCGCCUGUAGGGCCCCACCACCUUUGGAAUCUGGUUCCCUCAGCUCCCUCUGUGAAUACGGCAGUUAGCUCCCAGGGUAUUGCGAGGAUGGAAAAAGUAAAGACUAUGAGUUCUCAGGAAAUAUUGAAACGGGGUCAACUGAGUAACAUUUAAGUCAAUUAGAAAGACGGUCUGUUAACAGUCUGUUAAUAGCUGGCUGAGAUGGAUUCCCAUGAUUCCCGGUGCCAGCAUCUCCGCUCACACAAGGAAAUAUUUAUGACUCUUCUCCCUCAAAAGCCUGGUUAACCUCAUUUAAAGCAGAGAGCACGAAGAUAGAUCUAUCAACAUUAGGGACAUCAACUCUCCCUUUUUGUCCCCACGAUUACAAGAGAAAAGGAGAAUUCAAACCUUAAAGUGGGAAGUGAAUUACGCAGAGUGGCCGCAGAUGGGAGCCAUUAAAUGCCCGGCUGCGUUUUUUUAAUUGAAACAAUACAGCAAUUUACUAUACAAAUAGCUCUGGCAGAGCGCUGCUCUGGUGCUGUGGAAGCUGCCCGCCCCGCGUCCCACGGGUCACACACGGCAGCACGGCGCGGACCUCCCGCUCCCAGCAGAGCCGCCGGCACCCGGGGCGAGGCGCACCCCUGGGCACAGCACCGCGGCUCCGCCUCGCUUUCCAGACGACUCCAGGAACGUCAGGACGAGCUCCCAGCGGCAGCUCCCGGCCCAUUACCAAAUACAGAGUCCAGAGGGAAGCGAGUCCUCGCUCCUCCUUUUGGGCGAGGCGAAGGGGAAAAAACAAAGCCGGAUGGGUCCCACUGUCAUCUUGACUGCCCGCGGGUUUUGGUCUGAGCUCCCGAAGCUUUAGGCCUGCCUGUAAGUCCAGCUUUGAAAGGGAAGGCGUUUAUUUUCAGUUUUCUGACGAGUGAGUAAUGGGGCUGCCAUCUAGAGGCCACUGCAACUUUCCAGCACAUUCCUUCGGACAGGAGUGGCAUUGUCAAUAACCUCCUCCUCCCACUACCUCCUCAUGAAGGACUUCUCGCUUCUAAAUGAAACUGUUACAGUACAAAGCACUUCUCCAUCCACAUCCCUGCCCACGGCGGCGGGCUGGAACUGGGUGAUCUUUAGCGUCCCCUCCAACCUGAGCCAUUCUAUGAUUGUGUCAUCUCUCAUUCAACGAUUGCAAAUUCUGCCUUAAUCAAUCCGGCUUAAGAAGGAGCUCUACUGAUAGGUAAUCUGUGUAUCCGCUGCAGGAAUGGGAUGCUGGGAGUGCUGGCUCUAUGAGUCUCAACUCCAUCCUUCCAUCCUGUCCCUGAGCUGAACAGCACCAGCCAAACUGGGCCAAACUCAGCGGGAUCCACUUUAGACCCUGCCUUGCAUAGAAGUCGGCUGCUGCAAAUGUGAACAGGAGGCAGAUACAGGGCAGCCAUGGCCACCCACCGCUCACCACGUGAGCUGCCUGCUCACUUGUGCUAAACCCUGUGCCCAAAUGGAGCGGCCCGGCAGGCUGCAGGGCAGCAGGGAGUGAGGGCCGCACUGUGCUGCGCAGGCCUGGCAGCAGAGGAACCCCACUCCAGUGCUUUGCAGAGCACUUCAAAUUUGCUUGCAGACUGCCUGCCUCGCACCCCGCACCCACCAAUUGCAAAAUCCCCUGUUGAUAUGACUAAGAGUCACGCUCUGCAGCCUCAGCUUUGGGUUCUACCUCUCUCGGUCCUGAAAUGGGGACAGGGAAGUGCCAGAUGCUUUCUGUUCUCCUUGCUCAGGACUCUGCGACCAUGGGUGUUUUUGAGUCAGCGGUGCUCAAGGGACCUUUCAGUCAGCAUAACUGCGUGAGUGGCCAAAUAAAAACAGGCCCAAACGCCAAUGGGGCUCUGCUUACAUCAAGGAAAGGGGAAGCAGCUCUUCUACAGCGAGCGCUAGCUCGCAAGAGGCGGCUAAAAAUAGGGCUGCCCUCUACAACACUUCCGUCCUGCCUUUGACACGCUCGCGGCUUUCAUGUCCCAUCGGCCCCGCCAUUUCCUCGCCCCACACUCGGCAUCGCCCCACAGCCCUUCCUGUCCGCGCGGGGCUUUGAAGCAUGGGCAGCUCCCUCACGCCAGAUGGCAGAGGGCACUUCCUCUGCUUUCUUCACUCUUUUUGAGUGCUUUGGUCACAAGUGAGAAGUGGGGCGGGUCCCGGUGAAGGUCUCGCCCCAAGAAGACGCUGGAAGUCCCAGAGGUGACCAAGACAAGGAAGGCGUUCCACAGUGGAGUGUUUUCAAGGGUGUUUUCCUCGGUAAAUGAAAUGAUGGGAAGUGUUUCUGUCGAUACCUCCAGGACAACAUUCCCAAGUAUUGGCUUUCAGUUUUGGCAUUUGUUCCUGGAGGAUCGGGGGCUGGAAAUGGCACAGACCUGCUUCUCGGAAUUAGCAGGAAAACAAAGGAGCAAUGUGCAGGAGGGGAUGUGAAGGGGCCGAUGCCUGUCAGCAGGCAGUGACACCGCACGGCUGGCAGAUGAUGGCCCAUGGAAGAUGGCAGCACAGCAGCAGCAGCGUGCCAUCAGAGCAGCAGAGCCCUGGUUCUGCCUGCAUGUCUGUGAGAAGAGGCACGGGACAGAGCUCAGUGUGGGCGGGCUGUUAGGCUGAGGAAAAGGCGAUGACUUCUCUUAACCUCAGUGAAGCAGACUGUUGAGAAGGCCUGUGCAUUUGCCCAAGGUUUUCCAGAUGCUGAGUAAAUAAAAUCCCUGAGAAGCUGGACCAGUUGGCACCUCGUUUACCUUUGUCUUCCCUGCUUUUCAGCCCAGCAGGUACCCUGAUGUCCUGAUAAGGACAAACAGGAUGAGGCACGUUCACAGGACCACAAGAGGACAGAGCAGCUCACCACCGUACUGUCAGAUGGCAGGAGCUGAGUCCCG